Molecule: ribosomal RNA, 350 nt
Filed under: uncultured bacterium
Lineage: Bacteria
Description: bacterial SSU rRNA
Rfam family: Bacterial small subunit ribosomal RNA
Source: RNAcentral
GGGCCCGCACAAGCGGUGGAGCAUGUGGUUUAAUUCGAUGAUACGCGAGGAACCUUACCAGGGCUUAAAUGUAGUAUGACCGGUCUGGAAACAGGCCUUCCCUUCGGGGCAGAUUACAAGGUGCUGCAUGGUUGUCGUCAGCUCGUGCCGUGAGGUGUUAGGUUAAGUCCCGCAACGAGCGCAACCCACGUCUUUAGUUGCCAGCAUUUAGUUGGGCACUCUAGAGAGACUGCCGGUGAUAAACCCGGAGGAAGGUGUGGAUGACGUCAAGUCAUCAUGCCCCUUACAUCCUGGGCUACACACGUACUACAAUGCUACGGACAAAGGGCCAGCAAGUUCGCGAGGACAAG